Molecule: ribosomal RNA, 510 nt
Filed under: uncultured bacterium
Lineage: Bacteria
Description: bacterial SSU rRNA
Rfam family: Bacterial small subunit ribosomal RNA
Source: RNAcentral
AACGAACGCUGGCGGCGUGCUUAACACAUGCAAGUCGAACGCGAAAGGGACUUCGGUCCUGAGUAAGUGGCGCACGGGUGAGUAACGCGUAGAUAACCUGUCUUCAUGUCUGGAAUAAUACGCCGAAAGGGGUACUAAUACCGGAUAUUCUUGCUUUUCAUAAGCUAUGCAAGCAAAGGUGGCCUCUGCAUAUGCUACUGCAUGAAGAGGGGUCUGCGUACCAUUAGCUAGUAGGUGGGGUAAUGGCCUACCUAGGCGACGAUGGUUAGCGGGUCUGAGAGGAUGAUCCGCCACACUGGCACUGGAACACGGGCCAGACUCCUACGGGAGGCAGCAGUGAGGAAUAUUGCGCAAUGGGGGAAACCCUGACGCAGCGACGCCGCGUGAGUGAAGGAAGGCCUUCGGGUCGUAAAGCUCUGUCAAGAGGAAAGAAGUGUACAAUGGCUAAUACCUGUUGUAUCUGACGGUACCUCUAAAGGAAGCACCGGCUAACUCCGUGCCAGCCGCCGC